Molecule: unclassified non-coding RNA, 387 nt
Filed under: Hevea brasiliensis (rubber tree)
Lineage: Eukaryota; Viridiplantae; Streptophyta; Magnoliopsida; Malpighiales; Euphorbiaceae
Source: RNAcentral
GAGAGAGAGAGAGAGAGAUUAGGUCAAGUUGCAACAUAUAAUAACCUAUUUUUCUUUUGAUCUAAUAUUAAUUGCAUGUUCUUAUUUCUUGUUUUGAAUAUGAUAUUCUAGUGCUGUUCUUAUUUUCCAGUGCUAUGUGGUUGAUAAACCCUUGUCGUACUGACUACCAAGAAUUAUUUCCAUAGAAAAAUCUGUUGCACCUAUGUAAAUUUCUUCUGUCAUUUUCUUUUCCAUUUUGCAAUUUCUUGUUGUUUACAUUUGAAAAGUUCUUUGUAGGAAUUAUGGUUGUCUUUGUAUGUCAACUUCAAUUAGACCUUUUCAGCAAUUUGUACCUUUGACUCUUUCCUUUUCUUGGUAUAAUAGCCAAAGUUGGUGGCAGUGUCGAAU